Cyprinus carpio carpio is the source of this 788-nucleotide long non-coding RNA. Lineage: Eukaryota; Metazoa; Chordata; Actinopteri; Cypriniformes; Cyprinidae. The record is from Ensembl.
UGAUUUCACCUUGGGAUGAUUCACUUUCUUCAAGAACUGUAAAAAAAAAUUAGCAUUUAAAUGAGAUAUAGAUACACACAACAAAGACAUUUAUAUGCAUUUUGGCUUUCCUUGAUUAUUCCAGAUUCAUUUGUUUUGCAUGUAUAUUUACAGCGUUUUGUCUGUGGUGUCUUUCUAGGUAUGGGCGCCCGAAGUUCUUCUUCUGCAAGAAACAAAAGUUACAACUGCAAUUGUCUUUCGCCAUGAAGAUGGUGCCACCUCAACCUCAUUUUGCUCAAUGAAAUUGAGUACUACAUAGCGAAGAUAAACCUGCAAGUGAAGUUUAGAUAAAUCUGUUUUCAAAAAAGAAUGGCACUGGAGAGCAAAUCACCAGAAGACAGAAGGAAGCUGUAGGAGGCAGAAACUCAUGGGACAAAUCUUCACAAAGCAGAAGCUGUAGAAGGCAGAGACUCAGGGGCAAAGCUUCAGGACCCAGAAUCUCAGGGGUAAAGCCGAAGCAGUUACACUCACAGAGGACAAAGCUUCAGGAGGCGAAGACUCAGGGGUGAAGCUGAAGGAUGUAGAGCCUCAAGGAGCAAAGGGAUACUUCAAAAGGUAUGAAGAAUGGACACCACAAUUUUGAUCCCGUAGUUUUCCUCCACGGUGAAUGCCCUCCUCUGAAGGGACUUUCUUUCUAAGCAAAGCAUUUGAGAAUGCCUGAUGUUAGCCAUGUAUGUUCCAUAGAGGCGUGAAUCACACGGUGUUGUCAGAUAUGGCUGUAGAUUUGUGUACACCCUGCAUAACACUGU